This 96-nucleotide non-coding RNA is filed under the name Streptococcus phocae. RNAcentral describes it as "Guanine sequence". It matches the Rfam family "Purine riboswitch aptamer". Rfam says of the family: Riboswitches are metabolite binding domains within certain messenger RNAs that serve as precision sensors for their corresponding targets. Allosteric rearrangement of mRNA structure is mediated by ligand binding, and this results in modulation of gene expression. A class of riboswitches that selectively recognises guanine and becomes saturated at concentrations as low as 5 nM. Lineage: Bacteria; Bacillati; Bacillota; Bacilli; Lactobacillales; Streptococcaceae. The record is from RNAcentral.
AUAAAUUGAAUAACGACUACUUAUUUAUGCUGUGAAUUGGCGCAGCGUCUCUACAAGACACCUUAAUGUCUAACAAUAAGUAAGCUUUUAAGCUUG